GCAGUGGGGAAUUUUGGACAAUGGGGGCAACCCUGAUCCAGCAAUGCCGCGUGUGUGAAGAAGGCCUUCGGGUUGUAAAGCACUUUUGUCCGGAAAGAAAUGGCUCUGGUUAAUACCCGGGGUCGAUGACGGUACCGGAAGAAUAAGCACCGGCUAACUACGUGCCAGCAGCCGCGGUAAUACGUAGGGUGCGAGCGUUAAUCGGAAUUACUGGGCGUAAAGCGUGCGCAGGCGGUUUUGUAAGACAGGCGUGAAAUCCCCGAGCUCAACUUGGGAAUGGCGCUUGUGACUGCAAGGCUAGAGUAUGUCAGAGGGGGGUAGAAUUCCACGUGUAGCAGUGAAAUGCGUAGAGAUGUGGAGGAAUACCGAUGGCGAAGGCAGCCCCCUGGGACGUCACUGACGCUCAUGCACGAAAGCGUGGGGAGCAAACAGGAUUAGAUACCCUGGUAGUCCACGCCCUAAACGAUGUCAACUAGUUG
RNAcentral lists this ribosomal RNA (479 nucleotides) under Cupriavidus sp. Is-D318. RNAcentral's name for it is "bacterial SSU rRNA". It matches the Rfam family "Bacterial small subunit ribosomal RNA", at positions 351 to 822 of the family's 1533-position model. The record is from RNAcentral. Lineage: Bacteria; Pseudomonadati; Pseudomonadota; Betaproteobacteria; Burkholderiales; Burkholderiaceae.